GUGCACAUCUUGACGGUACCUAACCAGAAAGCCACGGCUAACUACGUGCCAGCAGCCGCGGUAAUACGUAGGUGGCAAGCGUUAUCCGGAAUUAUUGGGCGUAAAGCGCGCGUAGGCGGUUUUUUAAGUCUGAUGUGAAAGCCCACGGCUCAACCGUGGAGGGUCAUUGGAAACUGGAAAACUUGAGUGCAGAAGAGGAAAGUGGAAUUCCAUGUGUAGCGGUGAAAUGCGCAGAGAUAUGGAGGAACACCAGUGGCGAAGGCGGCUUUCUGGUCUGCAACUGACGCUGAUGUGCGAAAGCGUGGGGAUCAAACAGGAUUAGAUACCCUGGUAGUCCACGCCGUAAACGA
RNAcentral lists this ribosomal RNA (350 nucleotides) under Staphylococcus pseudintermedius. RNAcentral's name for it is "bacterial SSU rRNA". It matches the Rfam family "Bacterial small subunit ribosomal RNA", at positions 460 to 809 of the family's 1533-position model. The record is from RNAcentral. Lineage: Bacteria; Bacillati; Bacillota; Bacilli; Caryophanales; Staphylococcaceae.